Molecule: ribosomal RNA, 504 nt
Filed under: uncultured bacterium
Lineage: Bacteria
Description: bacterial SSU rRNA
Rfam family: Bacterial small subunit ribosomal RNA
Source: RNAcentral
GACGAACGCUUGCGGCGUGCCUAAGAAAUGCAAGUCGAGCGAGAUUUUACGCUGUCCAAAGCUUCGGCAGAGGACUUGUAAAAUCUAGCGGCGAACGGUCGCGUAACACGUAGGCAACCUGCCCUAAAGUAUGGGAUAGCCCGCCGAAAGGCGGAUUAAUACCGUAUGUGAAUACUCUUUCGCAUGUUUGAGUAUUUAAAGCAGCAAUGCGCUUUAGGAUGGGCUUGCGGCCUAUCAGCUAGUUGGUGAGGUAACGGCUUACCAAGGCGACGACGGGUAGCUGGUCUGAGAGGACGAUCAGCCGGAUUGGGACUGAGAUACGGCCCAGACUCCUACGGGGGGCAGCAAUUAGGAAUCUUGCGCAAUGGGGGAAACCCUGACGCAGCGACGCCGCGUGAAUGAUGAAGUCUCUAGGGAUGUAAAGUUCUGUCCUACAGGGAAGAAACAAAUGACGGUACCUGUAGAGAAAGCCCCGGCUAACUACGUGCCAGCAGCCGCGGUAAU